Molecule: long non-coding RNA, 1637 nt
Organism: Megalobrama amblycephala (Wuchang bream)
Lineage: Eukaryota; Metazoa; Chordata; Actinopteri; Cypriniformes; Xenocyprididae
Exons: 4
Source: RefSeq, a predicted model, not a curated record
AGUGGGAACUGUUCCAUCUAUCAGUAAAAGCCUUUGUGCAAAUCCAGCAUUAAACUCGUGUAGAUUCUGGAAGCUGUCUUCCACGCCGCAUCCAGUGUAGAAAAUAUCACAGAUAUGGGUUCUAUUAUCAUUUGACGCGUCGCCACUUGCGUCCGGUGUACACAACUUUUCCUCUUCCAUUAUGCUGCACGACAUGGCCUCGCCCACUUUGUUGCGUGUUACCGGGGGUGUGUUUUGCAGGGUUUAUGAUGUCACCAACCCGGGAAGAAACUUGUUGUAGUCCAAACCAGUUGUUUUUGUAGGCAUUAAACUGCCAUAACUUUAAAAGACAAUAUCUCUGUUUGCAUUGAACUUUCAGCGCUGUAACUUUGCAGAUACUGUUUAUGCCCAAGCAGCAACACUACCGAGCUAACAAUGACCUGGAGGUCCGCCAGCGGUUUUUUGGGCGGCACAAAGUCAGCGGCUAGACACGGUCGGACCACCGUCGGCACACCAUCGGCAAGCCGACCAAUCUGUAAAUGCCGUCGGUCUGCCAGCGUUUUUUGGGUGGCACGCCACCAGCGGUUUGCCGCUGCUGGGCCACCGUUGGUACACCAGUGGCAAACUGAUAGUCUGUCCAGUUACUACUGAGCGCUUACAGGACAUCUUUUUUGAUAAGUGUGUAUUUAUUUUAUAUUAUCUUUGCAGUUAAAAAGAAUCUGAAAGCACUGAAUAAAAAAUAUUGAGACUGAUUUAAUAUCUAUAUCAAAAGCUUAGUAUAAUUGCCUAUGAGCACGCUAUCAAAUAAAAUAACGUGGUUGAAUGUUUGUAAAAACAACAAUGAAUAAUUAAGUUAUAAAAGUUUAAGUUAUAAAAUUAUGAAGUUAUAAAAGUGCCACAAUUGUUCCACUAUCACGUGCUGGGGUGGCAUUUUGCGCCUAUGAAGGGUCACAAAAUUACAAAAUGAGUUUUAAGUUCAUGUUUUAAUAUUAAUGAGAUUUUUUAUGUAAUGUUUUAAUUCUAGAUGUUUAUUUAUAUAAAUGCUGCAUGACUGACGUGUUUUCAUGCGUGCGCGCACCGAACAUUUCAAACACUGGAGCGGCGCAGAGUUGCCAUGGAAACGGAGAAACUGACAAGCUGCAAAAACAGCAGUUUCUCGCUGUUGUUUUCACUUCUUUCAGGGGAAGGUCCAAAUAUUUCAGCAUUUCUGAAGGAAGCUGCUGACAGAAGACGGAAACAGAUACUUCCCUGCUGACGCUCUGCACCGUGGCAGAGUUGGAGCGGAUAAAAAAGUUCCUGUCGGACCACAUGACUAGAUGCCCAGCAAGGUUACUAGAGGUUACGGCAGCUCCAGUUUGGAUCCAGCCUCACUUGUGAAGACUGCAGAUGAUGGAACUAUAGAUGAACAUAAAAAAACUGACAGAUAUUAUCCUUAUAUUGUAAUCAUUGGUCCGGAUUCACAGACAGGGCUUAGAUUAAGUCAGGAUAAGGUCUUAGUUAAAUUAGGACAUUAACAUAGCUUUUUAAAACAUGCUUUAGAAAAAAAUAAAAAACAUUACUGUUGUGCAUCUUGACACAAAACAAUGACACUGACAUAUUUUAAGAUAUGCUUUCAGUUAAAGGGUUAGUUCACUCCAAAAUGACAUUUCUGUCAUUAA